UACGGAAGGCAGCAGUGGGGAAUAUUGCACAAUGGGCGCAAGCCUGAUGCAGCCAUGCCGCGUGUAUGAAGAAGGCCUUCGGGUUGUAAAGUACUUUCAGCGGGGAGGAAGGCGGUGAAGUUAAUAGCUUCACCGAUUGACGUUACCCGCAGAAGAAGCACCGGCUAACUCCGUGCCAGCAGCCGCGGUAAUACGGAGGGUGCAAGCGUUAAUCGGAAUUACUGGGCGUAAAGCGCACGCAGGCGGUCUGUCAAGUCGGAUGUGAAAUCCCCGGGCUUAACCUGGGAACUGCAUUCGAAACUGGCAGGCUAGAGUCUUGUAGAGGGGGUAGAAUUCCAGGUGUAGCGGUGAAAUGCGUAGAGAUCUGGAGGAAUCCGGUGGCGAAGGCGGCCCCUGGGACAAAGCUGACGCUCAGGGUGCGAAAGCGUGGGGAGCGAAACAGGAUUAGGAUACC
RNAcentral lists this ribosomal RNA (454 nucleotides) under uncultured bacterium. RNAcentral's name for it is "bacterial SSU rRNA". It matches the Rfam family "Bacterial small subunit ribosomal RNA", at positions 340 to 786 of the family's 1533-position model. The record is from RNAcentral.